GCCGAAGUGGCGGAACUGGCAGACGCGACGGUCUCAAACACCGUUGGGGUAACACCCGUGUGGGUUCGAAUCCCACCUUCGGCACCA
This 87-nucleotide transfer RNA is filed under the name Dehalococcoidia bacterium. Its description in RNAcentral is "tRNA-Leu". It matches the Rfam family "tRNA". Rfam says of the family: Transfer RNA (tRNA) molecules are approximately 80 nucleotides in length. Their secondary structure includes four short double-helical elements and three loops (D, anti-codon, and T loops). Further hydrogen bonds mediate the characteristic L-shaped molecular structure. tRNAs have two regions of fundamental functional importance: the anti-codon, which is responsible for specific mRNA codon recognition, and the 3' end, to which the tRNAs corresponding amino acid is attached (by aminoacyl-tRNA synthetases). tRNAs cope with the degeneracy of the genetic code in two manners: having more than one tRNA (with a specific anti-codon) for a particular amino acid; and 'wobble' base-pairing, i.e. permitting non-standard base-pairing at the 3rd anti-codon position. The record is from RNAcentral. Lineage: Bacteria; Bacillati; Chloroflexota; Dehalococcoidia.